This 632-nucleotide ribosomal RNA is filed under the name uncultured bacterium. Its description in RNAcentral is "bacterial SSU rRNA". The stretch from base 1 to 542 matches the Rfam family "Bacterial small subunit ribosomal RNA", at positions 338 to 873 of the family's 1533-position model. The record is from RNAcentral.
CCUACGGGAGGCAGCAGUGGGGAAUUUUGGACAAUGGGCGCAAGCCUGAUCCAGCAAUGCCGCGUGAGUGAAGAAGGCCUUCGGGUUGUAAAGCUCUUUUGUCAGGGAAGAAACGGUGGGGGCUAAUAUCCCUCGCUAAUGACGGUACCUGAAGAAUAAGCACCGGCUAACUACGUGCCAGCAGCCGCGGUAAUACGUAGGGUGCAAGCGUUAAUCGGAAUUACUGGGCGUAAAGCGUGCGCAGGCGGUUUUGUAAGUCUGUCGUGAAAGCCCCGGGCUCAACCUGGGAAUUGCGAUGGAGACUGCAAGGCUUGAAUCUGGCAGAGGGGGGUAGAAUUCCACGUGUGGCAGUGAAAUGCGUAGAGAUGUGGAGGAACACCGAUGGCGAAGGCAGCCCCCUGGGUCAAGAUUGACGCUCAUGCACGAAAGCGUGGGGAGCAAACAGGAUUAGAUACCCUGGUAGUCCACGCCCUAAACGAUGUCUACUAGUUGUCGGGUUUUAAUUAACUUGGUAACGCAGCUAACGCGUGAAGUAGACCGCCGUGGGGAGGUACGGUCGCGAGAAGUUAAACGUUAAAGUAAGUUAGUACGGCGUGAGACGUCGCCGACGGACGACGACGAGGGAGGUUAGG